GACGAACGCUGGCGGCGUGCUUAACACAUGCAAGUCGAACGGUAAGGCCCUUCGGGGUACACGAGUGGCGAACGGGUGAGUAACACGUGGGUGAUCUGCCCUGCACUUCGGGAUAAGCCUGGGAAACUGGGUCUAAUACCGGAUAGGACCCUGGGAUGCAUGUCCUGGGGUGGAAAGCUUUUGUGGUGUGGGAUGGGCCCGCGGCCUAUCAGCUUGUUGGUGGGGUGAUGGCCUACCAAGGCGAGGACGGGUAGCCGGCCUGAGAGGGUGACCGGCCACGCUGGGACUGAGAUACGGCCCAGACUCCUACGGGAGGCAGAAGUGGGGAAUAUUGCACAAUGGGCGCAAGCCUGAUGCAGCGACGCCGCGUGAGGGAUGACGGCCUUCGGGUUGUAAACCUCUUUCAGCACCGACGAAGCGCAAGUGACGGUAGGUGCAGAAGAAGGACCGGCCAACUACGUGCCAGCCGCCGCGGUAA
RNAcentral lists this ribosomal RNA (478 nucleotides) under uncultured bacterium. RNAcentral describes it as "partial 16S ribosomal RNA". It matches the Rfam family "Bacterial small subunit ribosomal RNA", at positions 28 to 523 of the family's 1533-position model. The record is from RNAcentral.